This 342-nucleotide unclassified non-coding RNA is filed under the name soil metagenome. Its description in RNAcentral is "partial contains 5.8S ribosomal RNA, internal transcribed spacer 2, and large subunit ribosomal RNA". The stretch from base 1 to 120 matches the Rfam family "5.8S ribosomal RNA", at positions 35 to 154 of the family's 154-position model. The record is from RNAcentral.
GAUGAAGAACGCAGCGAAAUGCGAUAAGUAGUGUGAAUUGCAGAAUUCAGUGAAUCAUCGAAUCUUUGAACGCACAUUGCGGCCAUAGGUAUUCCUUUGGCCAUGCCUGUUCGAGCGUCAUUUACACCCUCAAGCCUAGCUUGGUGUUGGGCGUCUGUCCCGCCGUUCUCGCGCGCGGACUCGCCUCAAAGUCAUUGGCGGCGGUCGUGCCAGCCCCCUCGCGCAGCACAUUUGCGCUUCUCGGAGGCCCGGCGGAUCCGCGCUCCAGCAAGACCUUUCACGACUUGACCUCGGAUCAGGUAGGGAUACCCGCUGAACUUAAGCAUAUCAAUAAGCGGAGGA